AAGUUGUUCAUAGGCCGGUAGCAAACUGAGAAGAAAAAUGUUGGACAAGGGGGUGAAUUGCGUACCGGAUGGGACAGUGAGGGACGGCUCAAGAUUUCACCGUGUUUCUCGGAAAGAUUAAAAUUUGGAUUAUUGACUGAUUGGUGGUUCACACCUUCAAUUCCAGCACUCUGGAGGCAGAUGCAGGAAGACCCCUAAAAGUUCAAGAAAGUCACAACGCUCAAAGGUUUCAGGUCCUGUCGAACACCCCAAAUGCAUCGGAAGAACAAGAGAUGUCUGUUUCUCAGUGAUGUCCAGUCAGGAUACAGGGAAACUCCUUUUAACUUCUUCUUGGCUUGUUCUCCAGCCCUGGAACAUUUUGGAAGAGUGAGUGUGGACUUUCCAGCACAUUCUACAGCUCCCUCGUUUGCAAUGGCAAUGGAGGGGCAUUCCUAGGAAGAAAGCAUGCCUCCCGAGAGGUUCUAUUAAAUCGACUUGACUGUCAGGCAUCACUGAAGAGUUACAACAAGAAAGAAGGCACAUUGCCUUCAUCUCCCCAGCUCUUUGUGUCUGGGUACAUUUUUGGUUUCAGCUUCCAAAUUAAGUCUCUGCAGGUUUGGAGUGGUCAGCUCAGCUUUCGUUCCUAAAAAACCCACAGCAGCUG
This 643-nucleotide long non-coding RNA is filed under the name Mus musculus (house mouse). RNAcentral's name for it is "predicted gene, 49454". Lineage: Eukaryota; Metazoa; Chordata; Mammalia; Rodentia; Muridae. The record is from RNAcentral.